AGAGUUUGAUCCUGGCUCAGAAUCAACGCUGGCGGCGUGCCUAACACAUGCAAGUCGAGCGGGGUAGCAAUACCCAGCGGCAGACGGGUGAGUAACACGUAGUCAACCUUCCCGAUAGUGGGGGAUAACUAGCCGAAAGGUUAGCUAAUACCGCAUACGAUCUUCGAGAGGCAUCUCUUAAAGAUGAAAGCAGCAGUGCG
This 200-nucleotide ribosomal RNA is filed under the name uncultured bacterium. RNAcentral describes it as "partial 16S ribosomal RNA". It matches the Rfam family "Bacterial small subunit ribosomal RNA", at positions 8 to 217 of the family's 1533-position model. The record is from RNAcentral.